RNAcentral lists this long non-coding RNA (1191 nucleotides) under Lactuca sativa (garden lettuce). Its description in RNAcentral is "long non-coding RNA (LSAT_LNC004305)". Lineage: Eukaryota; Viridiplantae; Streptophyta; Magnoliopsida; Asterales; Asteraceae. The record is from RNAcentral.
GUUUAUCUGGUUUUUGAGACCGGUCGAACAGUUGAACCAUCGAACCGGUAACACGGCCGGUUUGAUGUCCGGUCCGAUUUUCAAAACAUUGGCUGCUAGGCACCACCCUACACCAUCGUGUUCUUCCCGCUCUUGCUAUUGAUCGGACCUACACCAUCGUGCUCUUGCUAUUGAUCGGACCUACACCAUCGUGUUCUUCCCGCUCUUGCUAUUGAUCGGAGCAAACUGUCACCACCAUCUUAACCCACCUAGUUUUUCGAACACCCCCUUGACCGGCCGGUUCAACCGUGAACCGGUGUGGAUACAGGCUUUUAAAAGCACAAAAACCGCCCUUAAACCAAACCGAAAAAAAACCGGCGGUUCAAACAAAAACCGGACUAAACCGACAUGGUUUAACCGGAAAAAAAACCGGCCCGCUGAUAAAAAAGACUUAAAAAUUAAACUAGAGUAAAGCGAUUAGUCCUGGCUUUCAUAAGCGAGAAGCACACUUUACUUUAACUGCCUCUUUAGAUUCUUGUCCUUUUAUAGAGCUCUCAAAGGCCGCCAUUUUAUUUUUGUGGCGAUGUGGGAUGAGGCUAAUAGCCUAAACAAUUUUUAAACUAAUUCAUGGUGUAUACUCAUUUUCUUCCACAUUGAAUAAUAUUUUUUUUUAUACUUCUUGUUUUCUUCUUUUGGACUAAUUUAUUUAACCUAUUAAGGUUCCUUUUACUGUGAUGAUUUUGAAAAUAGUCAAAUAACCGAUCUCCCCUAAAAGUGAAAUAUGCAAAAAAAAAUAAGCAUACUUGAAGUAGAAAUGAAACCAAAUCCAUAUUGAACUCAAUUGAUAUCAUUUACAUAAAACUCCUUGAAUCGUUAUAGCAAACUUUUAGGAGAGUAACAUAUAAGAAUAAGAUAUUGUUGACUCAUAUUAAAAUUUCAUAAUCGUUAUAUAUAUAUAUAUAUAUNNNNNNNNNNNNNNNNNNNNNNNNNNNNNNNNNNNNNNNNUCCGGUUUAUCCGGUUUUUGAGACCGGUUGAACCGGUCGAACCAGUUGAACCGUCGAACCGGUAACACGGCCGGUUCGAUAUCCGGUUCGGUUUUCAAAACAUUGGCUGCUAGGCACCACCCUACACCACCGUGUUCUUCCCGCUCUUGCUAUUGAUCGGAGCAAACUGUCACCACCAUCUUAACCCACCUAGUUUUUCGAACACCC